UACGUCCUAGAAGGCAUUGAUUUAUAACCUCCAUUUGGUCACUUUGGUUAUAAGGAGCUAAUAGUGAAACCGUUCUAAAAAAAA
Molecule: non-coding RNA, 84 nt
Filed under: Candidatus Microgenomates bacterium
Lineage: Bacteria; Candidatus Microgenomatota
Description: Microgenomates Collierbacteria c-di-GMP-II sequence
Rfam family: Cyclic di-GMP-II riboswitch aptamer
Source: RNAcentral